UGGAUAGGCACAAAUAAAGGAGUAAACUGUACAUUGUCUGAACCUGCAAAGAGAUUCAGAUCAGAACUUCUUUCUAGAUUGGAUGGAUUAGUAUCUAACGAAAAUUCUAAUGUAGUUCUUUUGGCUGCAACUAAUUGCCCUUGGGACAUUGAUGCAGCUUUACGCAGACUUUUUCUUGAAAAGAAAAUAUACGUAUCAUUACCAAAUGAAGUUAGUCGACUCGAUAUGUUCAAAUUAUACCUUAGCAACCAGUUAUUAGAGAAUAUGGAUAUUGUAAACCACAUAAUAAAAUCUACUGAAAAAUAUUCUUGCGCGGAUAUAAAAUUGCUUUGUAAGCAAGCAUGGCUGCUAGAAAUAAGUCCAAUGUGGGAAAAACUUGAAAAAAAAGAAACAUCUGUUACGACUUUGAAAUAUGAAUUAAAGAAUUAUGAAAUAAUAGCAAAAUUGUUAAAAACAAUGUCACCUACAGUCACGGAUGUGGAUAGAUAUAAAGCGUGGAAUAAAUAUGUAUGCCAUAAGAACAUAUUUUAAAAAAUAUAAAUGGUUAUCAUAAUAUA
This is a long non-coding RNA of Bombus terrestris (buff-tailed bumblebee), 557 nucleotides long. RefSeq lists it as uncharacterized. Lineage: Eukaryota; Metazoa; Arthropoda; Insecta; Hymenoptera; Apidae. The record is from RefSeq and is a predicted model, not a curated record. The transcript is spliced from 2 exons.